RNAcentral lists this ribosomal RNA (102 nucleotides) under Peziza subcitrina. RNAcentral's name for it is "partial 28S ribosomal RNA". Lineage: Eukaryota; Fungi; Ascomycota; Pezizomycetes; Pezizales; Pezizaceae. The record is from RNAcentral.
UUAUUUGGAGUUAUCGUAUUCGCCUUUAACCCACCCUUUUUUUUUUACUUGGGUGACCUCAGAUCAGGUAGGGAUACCCGCUGAACUUAAGCAUAUCAAUAA